GGGACAGUGGCGAACGGGUGCGUAACACGUGAGAAACCUGCCCUGGAGAUCGGGAUAGCCCGAGGAAACUCGGAUUAAUACCGGAUAUGCUCACAGGACCACAUGGUCUGGUGAGGAAAUAGUCCGCUGCUCCAGGAUGGUCUCGCGGCCUAUCAGCUUGUUGGUGAGGUAAUGGCUCACCAAGGCUCCGACGGGUAGCUGGUCUGAGAGGACGAUCAGCCACACUGGGACUGAGACACGGCCCAGACUCCUACGGGAGGCAGCAGCAGGGAAUAUUGCACAAUGGGCGAAAGCCUGAUGCAGCGACGCCGCGUGCGGGAUGAAGGCCUUCGGGUUGUAAACCGCUUUCAGGAGGGACGAAAAUGACGGUACCUCCAGAAGAAGGCCCGGCCAACUACGUGCCAGCAGCCGCGGUAAUACGUAGGGGCCAAGCGUUGUCCGGAUUUAUUGGGCGUAAAGGGCUCGUAGGCGGUUUGACAAGUCGGACGUGAAAACCCGGGGCUCAACCCCGGGACGCCGUUCGAAACUGUCAUGACUAGGGUCCGGUAGAGGUGAGUGGAAUUCUCGGUGUAGCGGUGAAAUGCGCAGAUAUCGAGAGGAACACCAGUAGCGAAGGCGGCUCACUGGGCCGGUACCGACGCUGAGGAGCGAAAGCAUGGGGAGCAAACAGGAUUAGAUACCCUGGUAGUCCAUGCCGUAAACGUUGAAUACUAGGUGUGGCGAGUUAAUCCAUACUUGCCGUGCCGCAGCUAACGCAUUAAGUAUUCCGCCUGGGGAGUACGGCCGCAAGGCUAAAACUCAAAGGAAUUGACGGGGCCCCGCACAAGCGGCGGAGCAUGCGGCUUAAUUCGAUGCAACCCGAAGAACCUUACCUGGACUUGACAUUAUGGGUCUAUCCCUAGAGAUAGGGAGUGCUUAUGCGCCCAUAACAGGUGGUGCAUGGCUGUC
Molecule: ribosomal RNA, 948 nt
Filed under: uncultured bacterium
Lineage: Bacteria
Description: bacterial SSU rRNA
Rfam family: Bacterial small subunit ribosomal RNA
Source: RNAcentral